Molecule: ribosomal RNA, 253 nt
Filed under: uncultured bacterium
Lineage: Bacteria
Description: partial 16S ribosomal RNA
Rfam family: Bacterial small subunit ribosomal RNA
Source: RNAcentral
UACGGGGGGGGCAAGCGUUGUUCGGAAUUACUGGGCGUAAAGGGCUCGUAGGUGGCCAACUAAGUCAGACGUGAAAUCCCUCGGCUUAACCGGGGAACUGCGUCUGAUACUGGAUGGCUUGAGUUCGGGAGAGGGAUGCGGAAUUCCAGGUGUAGCGGUGAAAUGCGUAGAUAUUGGGAGGAACACCAGUGGCGAAGGCGGCUCACUGGACCGGAACUGACGCUGAGGCGCGAAAGCGUGGGGAGCAAACAGG